Molecule: ribosomal RNA, 253 nt
Filed under: uncultured bacterium
Lineage: Bacteria
Description: partial 16S ribosomal RNA
Rfam family: Bacterial small subunit ribosomal RNA
Source: RNAcentral
UACGUAGGGUGCGAGCGUUGUCCGGAAUUAUUGGGCGUAAAGAGCUUGUAGGCGGUUUGUCGCGUCUGCUGUGAAAUCUCAAGGCUCAACCUUGAGCUUGCAGUGGGUACGGGCAGACUAGAGUGUGGUAGGGGAGACUGGAAUUCCUGGUGUAGCGGUGAAAUGCGCAGAUAUCAGGAGGAACACCGAUGGCGAAGGCAGGUCUCUGGGCCACUACUGACGCUGAGAAGCGAAAGCAUGGGGAGCGAAUAGG